Molecule: long non-coding RNA, 4222 nt
Filed under: Homo sapiens (human)
Lineage: Eukaryota; Metazoa; Chordata; Mammalia; Primates; Hominidae
Description: HSALNT0392596
Source: RNAcentral
AGAAGACAAGCAGAUGAGGAGACAAAACCUACUGAUGUGGGUACCCAAGCAGGAACCCCCCUCUUGCACCGGCGACUCACGUGGGAAGAAGAAUUCACUGAGCUGAAAUGGAGUGAGAGCUAAGAUGCUCUCAGAAUAUUCUUAAAAUGACUGUGCUGCAAAGAAGCCCGGGUGAAUAGAAGAAAAUAGAAGGAAUGGUGGAUACAAGUGAAGGUUAAAAUGAGACCCCAUUUAUCGCACCAGCUGUUGGUGAUUUCAGCGCACCUUUCCAAGCCUCUUGAGAGUUCUGCUCUAACCACACUGCCCCCUAGUGUUCUCUCGCUUUGGUGCAACGUGAGUAAAAAAAAAAAAACCACCAAGAUUUACUUUCAAUAUAUACACUGUAUUCAUCAGUGUUUUGCUAUAGAGAAUGUAAGAUAUCUUUCUGUAAAUUAUUUAGAUAUUUAAUCUUAUUUAUUUAUUUAUCCCAAUAAGAUAUUAAAGCAUGCUAAGCUGGAAUGAUUUUUUUUCAUAAAUGGGUAAAAGCAAAAGUAAAAGUUUAGAUACUAUUAAAUAAUUCCUGAUCUAAUAAACGGAGACAAAUUACCUAAUAUUUUUGAGCACCUAUUAUGUUAGACAUGUAAGAAAUACUGUAUUACAAGUGAAGUCUAAGUAAGCCUAAUUCAAUACUUAACUUUUAAAGUUAGAAACAUUUUAAAUAUAUUUAUUAAUUUGAUCUCGAAUUUGGGGAAAACAGUAAAGAUGGAAGAGAGAAAAGGGAGAAUUUUUAAAUUUUACAUAUCUAAGUGGCUUUGUAUUAUGUUUUAAUUGAAAAAUAUUUUAAACAAGUCAAUUCUGAUAAGAUGUAGAAAUUCUACUUGCAGCUUUAGGACAAAGUGAAUUAAAAACAAAGGCUUUCUACUUGAAAUGUGGCCAGUGUGACUGAGAAAUGGAGUUUCUAAAUUUUCAUUUCAUUUUAAUUAAUUUCACUGAUUUAAAUUUUAAAACUGAUUGAUACUCAAUUCAGUCACUGAAAACUUUUACGUAUGCUUGUAACAACUUAGGUAUCUGAAUCUAUUUUUUUCAAAUGUAAAUUUUAAGAUAUCUAUUUAGAUUAAAUAUUCCUAAUAAAAAUAUAGCAUUUUAAUUGCAUAGGCUAUAAGUGAAAAAUGUACAGCACAUUUCAAAUGUUUAGUACAAAGCCAAAAGAAUGUAAUAUUUCUCAUUAAUAAUUGUUAUAUUUAGUACAUGUUGAAAUUUAUAUUUAGAUAUGUCAAACAAAAUAUAUUAUUAAAAUUAAUUAUAUUGGUAAAAAAGGCUAAUAGUAUAGAAAUCAUAACUAUGUAUUCCUCUAUCUGAAUAAACUGAGAGAAUCAAGUUUUCAGAUUAUUAAAGAUUGAAAAAUUGAAAAUAUAUCUGUUUUCCAUGGUGCAGUUCACAUACCACUGGUGAUAAAUUACUUUAGCCAAUGCAAAUGUAUAGGCUUUUUAUUGUUAUGCAUUAUUUGAGCAAUAGUGAAAAUGAAACUGAGAUAUCAAAUCUAUGAUUUUGCAGAUAUUGAUGUUUAGGACUACACUACACAUUAAUUACAGUGCUCAUGUUUAUAAAUUUUUAGUAACUUUGACUCCACCAUUAAAUUGGAUUAGAAAUAUAAGUUGCAGAGUUUUCUUUUUUUUUUUUUUCAUAUUUUAAAAUAAGCUUUAUUUAGAUUUUUUUUUAAUAUUUUAUAUUUGCAUCCAUGCCUUCGAGAAACCUUUCCCACGGGAAAGGUUAUUUUCGUCUAAUGUUACCCAUAACUCAUUCGCUAUUUGACGUAGUUCUCUUAAAUAAAUCAUCCUUUAGUAACUCUUAGAAUUAUCUCCUAAUUUACAAAAACUGAAAUGAAAAGGAACUACUAAAUCAUUAGCAGGAGUGGUUGCAAUCUUAUUUUCUUGUAAGUAAAGGGAAAAUGAUAAAAAUCAACCAGAAAAGAAAUUCAUGGGCAAGAAAAGUAUUUUCUAAAAUCUGUCUCCGUAGAGAAAGAUGCCAGCUUGGGUCGCUCCCCCUCACCCCUAGGCUCGGUUAAACAGUUUGGUCAAAGGAGGACAGAAAAGUCCUUAUGAGGGCCUCAAGUUGCAGAGUUUUCUAAAGCCUGAGUUUUACUGUUUCUAUCCUUCUGGUGUCACUUAACAUGUUCCUCUGUCCAGUGUAUUUCCUGUAAGGUGUCAUUUAACAUGUUCCUCUGUCCAGUGUAUUUCCUGUAAGUUGUAGUUAGAAUUAAGAACAGCACCAUACAAUAGAAAUAUGAGCCACAAAUAUAAUUUAAAAUUUUAAAAUACACAUUUAAAAAAAGAAAACAUUAAAAUUAAAAUUAAUUUUAAUAAUAUAAUUUUAUUUAACCCAAUAUGUCACAAAUAUUAUGUAUGUAGUCAUACAUACAUAUUAAAUUUUAAAAUUUAAGUCAAUAUUAAAGUCAAUAUUAAAAAUUAUUGAGAUAGUUUACAUCUUUUUUUCAUAUUAAGUUUUUGCUAUCUGGUGUGUAUUUUACGUGUACAGAACAUCUCAAUUUGGCCUAUCCACAUUUCAAAUGCUCAGUAGCCACAUGGGAUUAGUACUGAAUACAGUAGACCCAGGUACAUCAUCAGACUGAGGUUCAAUUUUUGGCCAAAAUACCCCACAGGUGGUGGUGUGUACCUCCAUACAGAAGCAUAUGUCUGGUGGCUUUUUUGUGAUGUUGGCAGUCAUUGAUUACCAUUGUCUACACCCAAUAAUUCAUUAAAGGUUGCAAAAUGGCAAUACUCAAAUUUUAAAAUUCCUUCUUCAUUUAUUAGAUGGAGUACUUUUAUCAAGAGAAACAUCUCAUCAACUGCUUGGUUACUUGGAAUAAUAUGUAUAGGGAAGUUAGGAAAAAUGUUUGAUCUCUUCCUUUUAUUUGCCAGUUUUUAAAAUAAUGAUUUUGGUUUCCUUGCAUUUUCCAAGGAUGAUCAAUAAUAUUUUAUUUUAACAGUAUUAUUAGGAAUUCAUGAAUGUUAAUAUUUGAUGUGCCUCAGUUCAUUGCAGAGUUAACUUAAUUGCAGAGUUCUGAUAUCACCAAAGCCGUUUAUGAUAUUCCAGGUCCGUCUUGUACACUUCCUUCCACAGACCUGUAAUCAGCUAUUUCUUCAGGGAGCCUGUGAUUCCUUUUAGUGGAAAAUGGUAUGUAGAGAACAUUAUCUGUGUGUGAAGGGUUGAGCACGUUCCAUCUUUUCAGAGAACAAAGCUAGAAAACAUGUAUUUUAAUAAAAUAAUAUUCAUCAUGAAUUCAUGAUGUUUCCUAUUCAAAUUCAAGUAGAGGACUUUUUUCACAGUGUCCUUUUCCCUGUCAAAUUUCAAAUUUUAUUGACAUGAAUAUAAUUAUUCAUUUGCUGUAUUCAUAAUACACAUGUGCAACAGUCUCGAAUAAAUAGAAGACUACCACUAGCAAAAUGAUUACAAAAAUCAGCUUAAGAUACUUUGCAGUUGUUUUUGUCAUUAUGAUAACAUUCCGCUAAAACAGGCAAAUUAUUGUGUUUUACGGUCACUUGGGAAUAGUCCCUUUGGUGCUGUUCUGCCACCUACUGGACAGACAGGCUCAAUAGGCUUAUUUUACUUUUGAUAUUCAGGAAUCACUUUAUUUUAAAUUGAAUUUUGCUUUGUAAUAAUGCAAAGUUUUACAUGACUCUAGAGUCAAAUUUACAAAACAAGUCUAGUUUUUCUCCCUGUCUCCUCAAUCUUAUUUCCUUCCUCUACCUUUAAAUAUUUUAUUUUUAAAUGCUGUGAUUUAUAUGUCCAUUAGUAUAUAUUUGUAUAUAAUUUGUAUACAAAUUAUACAAAAUUGAUAUAUAUUUGUAUUUUUUAUCCCGUCUCCUUUAUUAGAUAAUUGGUAGCAUACUAUACAGACUUUUCUCCACCUGAAAGAAACAUACAUAUUAUUAUUAAAAGUUUAUAUGUAUAUAACCUGGAGUGUUGGGUUUUGCUUUGUUAGGUAAUCUGGAAAUAUUUUUAUAAAUGUAAAUUUAAUCAGUAAAUUUAUUUUUAGGAUCCAAAUGCUUGGCAUCACUUUUGUCAUAUUUGUUACAUGUAUUUCUGUCCAUACAAGCAUGCAAACAUCGUCACAUCUAUAUACCCGUGACUACCUCUAUCUUUAUUGCCUUACAUUUCUACUCUUUUCCUAUGUGGUCAAUAUCAAGGCUGCUCCAUGAACUGUUUGCUACCAAGCUAUGAUGACUUGUGAAUAGAAAGUAAC